CAGUAGCCGCGGUAAUACGGAGGGCGCAAGCGUUAAUCGGAAUUACUGGGCGUAAAGCGCACGCAGGCGGUUUGUUAAGUCAGAUGCGAAAUCCCCGAGCUUAACUUGGGAACUGCAUUGAAACUGGCAAGCUAGAGUGUUGUAGAGGGGGGUAGAAUUCCAGGUGUAGCGGUGAAAUGCGUAGAGAUCUGGAGGAAUACCGGUGGCGAAGGCGGCCCCCUGGACAAAGACUGACGCUCAGGUGCGAAAGCGUGGGGAGCAAACAGGAUUAGAUACCCGGGUAGUCCCUGUCUCUUAUACA
RNAcentral lists this ribosomal RNA (301 nucleotides) under uncultured bacterium. Its description in RNAcentral is "partial 16S ribosomal RNA". It matches the Rfam family "Bacterial small subunit ribosomal RNA", at positions 509 to 808 of the family's 1533-position model. The record is from RNAcentral.